GGGGAAUUUUCCGCAAUGGGCGCAAGCCUGACGACGCAACGCCGCGUGGAGGAUGAAGAUCUUCGGGUCGUAAACUCCUUUCGAUCGGGAAGAACGUUUUCGGAGCGAAUAACUCCGGGAAGUGACGGUACCGAGAGAAGAAGCCCCGGCUAACUCUGUGCCAGCAGCCGCGGUAAUACAGGGGGGGCAAGCGUUGUUCGGAAUUACUGGGCGUAAAGGGCUUGUAGGCGGCCAACUAAGUCACACGUGAAAUCCCCAGGCUUAACCUGGGAACUGCGUGUGAUACUGGAUGGCUUGAAUCCGGGAGAGGGAUGCGGAAUUCCAGGUGUAGCGGUGAAAUGCGUGGAUAUCUGGAGGAACACCGGUGGCGAAGGCGGCAUCCUGGACCGGCAUUGACGCUGAAAAGCGAAAGCCAGGGGAGCAAAAGGGAUUAGAUACCCCA
Molecule: ribosomal RNA, 442 nt
Filed under: uncultured bacterium
Lineage: Bacteria
Description: bacterial SSU rRNA
Rfam family: Bacterial small subunit ribosomal RNA
Source: RNAcentral